UGCAACUUUCGACCACACUUGUCCAAUUCUCUCUGUAUAAGCCACCUGAUUAGUUACAAAUCCUUUCAACAUGUUCACAAAGUCAACAUGCCUUUCUCUAUUUAUUCGAUCUAUCUCACUUUGAUUAUUUUCCUUAAUGCGCUCAUAUUCUCUGAUGGCACAGCUUUUGGCAUCUUCAGUGACCCUAAUGGAAUCUUUUAACUCUUCCAACUUUCGAAUUCGAGAUUUAUCACCCCCAAAUAUUUUAGAGGUUGCUGUUUCGAGUUUCUCUGCUCUUGAAUUUAAGGAAGACAAUUCUGAAAUGAGAGUCUGCACUGUCAAUAAAGCACUUGAUCGGUCUGAAAAUGCAUGGUGUAUACCCAACAUUAGACUCAGGUGUUCAUGUAGAAUAUCCAAAUGCUUCACUGUCAGUGAAUUUAACUCCCGAUACAAUCUGCUGGCUUUAACAGCUGCAGUAGCCACAUUUUUCAUAUCAGCAGCCCGUUCUCUCUGAGUAUUCACAGUAGCUCGUUCAUUCUCAAACUUCGUCAACUUAAUAAAUGUAAGCCCAAGUUCUCCAAUUGAAUCCCCCAUAUCUUGCUGAGCUUUAACAAGUGAUUCAGCCUGCUUUGACGCAUUACUAAGUUGCAGCUCAAGAUUGUGCAACCUUUCUUUAUUUUUGAGGAAAUCCUUAUCCUCCUCGUCAAUAGAUGAGUUGGAGGCACCCAAAUCAUUGGCCACAGAUUGCUUCAAUUCUUUUAACAGCCUGAGCAAAUCCCUACCACCUUUAGCAGGGUGCACAACAUCCUGGGGGACAAUGAGAUUUCCGGAUUCUCCAAACAAUUGUUUUGGCAACUUAACUGCUCCAUCCAAUACCCUAGAUGCGACAUCAAUGGUAGUUGGCAAGGGAAGUUUCCCAUCUACUUGCAAAAAAACCCUCAAUUCAUCACUCUUCUUAAUGAGUGGAUGUGCUGCAAGCUUGUGCAAGUACUUUUCCAAUGCCAAUCUUCUUUGCUCAACAAACUCCUGUUUCUGCAUGACUUGACUCUCGACGAUACUUUUAUCUGGCCUUGGAGGAAUAAAAUAACCUCUGUAACCUUCACUCAAUCUCUCUGAUAAAGUAACAAUGUCUUUAAAGCGUCUACGAACAGUGAAAUCGGUUCCUCCAUAAUCAGGUAAAUUGGUUUGUG
Molecule: unclassified non-coding RNA, 1169 nt
Filed under: Hevea brasiliensis (rubber tree)
Lineage: Eukaryota; Viridiplantae; Streptophyta; Magnoliopsida; Malpighiales; Euphorbiaceae
Source: RNAcentral